This 205-nucleotide long non-coding RNA is filed under the name Elaeis guineensis (African oil palm). RNAcentral's name for it is "long non-coding RNA (EGUI_LNC029446)". Lineage: Eukaryota; Viridiplantae; Streptophyta; Magnoliopsida; Arecales; Arecaceae. The record is from RNAcentral.
AAAAAAGAAUUGGGAUGGGUUUAAUAAAAAGAUGGCUUAGCUGAUUGUAAAAGCCAUAAAUAUUUUUUAUUGUUCUUCAGAUGUUAAUGAAUUUAAUAGAAUACCUAUUUAUACUUUUUGCAAAACAAAUUAGGAUAGAUUGAAAAUUACUUAUGAAGAAAUUAGCCAAGUUAAAGAGUCCAAAAUUAAUUUACUUGUUCAUAUG